RNAcentral lists this long non-coding RNA (215 nucleotides) under Homo sapiens (human). Its description in RNAcentral is "HSALNT0237476". The record is from RNAcentral. Lineage: Eukaryota; Metazoa; Chordata; Mammalia; Primates; Hominidae.
GAAAAGGCUCUCACUCCCUCCGUUCCUGAAGCAGCAACCUCUCAAAGUGGAGAAGCAACACGAGAACAUCUUGCUCUCUUGAGCGUCUCCCACCAAGUGAGCUGUUUACGGCGCUGACUCUAGGAUAUGGGUGCCUGGUUACCAGAGUUCUAAGUUCUGUUCGUGUGGUCAUCAUCCAGGAAGUGACGUCGCUUCUUUACGGUUCUGUUCCCUAG